RNAcentral lists this long non-coding RNA (649 nucleotides) under Equus caballus (horse). RNAcentral's name for it is "lncRNA (ENSECAG00000033412.2)". The record is from RNAcentral. Lineage: Eukaryota; Metazoa; Chordata; Mammalia; Perissodactyla; Equidae.
AUAUUGAGAAUUCCAUGGCCUGAUACCAUUCUAGAAGGUGAGAAACAAUGCAGUCAGUCUAGCAAGCCCCACCUUCUGGUCACAUCUCAGGCCCUCUCACUGUGGUGAAAGGGUCCGUUCAGGCAAAGUAGCAGGAGAUGAAGUCGGCAAAAGGAAGGAUAAUACUGAACAACAAAGGAAGCAGAGGGAAACUGGAAGAGACCCACCUCACUAGCUUCAACUUCACACUGGAUAACUCCAGGAGACAAGGGUGACGGGUUGAGGAUGGAAAAAAAGAACCAGAGUUUGAAUACAUUUCAACAUUGAUGCAGAAAAUACUUCUGAGCAUCUAAUGUGGGAAGAGGUCUGUGAAGGAGAUGCAGAUUUGGAAGUGGUCAUCAUAGAAAUAGUGUUUGAAGUCACAGGAGAAGACAAUAUUGCAAGAAAGACAAUUGUGAAUGCAAAGAGAAAGUGGGCCUAAGUCAAAGCCGGGUAGGGCUCCAAAAUUAAAGAUUGACUACAAGCAAAAAGAACCUUCUUCCAUUGGCAGAAAACAUGUCAUAAAGUAUGGAAAUGACAGGUGCUGUCUGCAGAACUAUUUUGAACUCACACCUGGAUUACGGGACUCAUUUCUAAGGUCAUCGUUAUUAGAAGUAUGUAGAAAAACUGG